Molecule: transfer RNA, 78 nt
Filed under: Luteimicrobium album
Lineage: Bacteria; Bacillati; Actinomycetota; Actinomycetes; Micrococcales
Description: tRNA-Ala
Source: RNAcentral
GCGUCGCGUGGUCGGGGGUCGUCGGGGCUGGCGGCCUCGAAGAGUGGGAGGACGUGUUCGGCGCAAGUCGCGGCCCAC